ACAGAGGCCCCGAGCGUUAGGCGGAAUCACUGGGCUUAAAGCGCGCGUAGGUGGUUUGGUAAGAUGGAUGUGAACUCCCCGGGCUCAACCUGGGAACUGCAUCCAUAACUGCCUGACUAGAGUACGGUAGAGGGUGGUGGAAUUUCCUGUGUAGCGGUGAAAUGCGUAGAUAUAGGAAGGAACACCAGUGGCGAAGGCGACCACCUGGACUGAUACUGACACUGAGGUGCGAAAGCGUGGGGAGCAAACAGGA
RNAcentral lists this ribosomal RNA (253 nucleotides) under uncultured prokaryote. Its description in RNAcentral is "partial 16S ribosomal RNA". It matches the Rfam family "Bacterial small subunit ribosomal RNA", at positions 525 to 777 of the family's 1533-position model. The record is from RNAcentral.